UCCCCGUUGCCGAGGCAGUCUUGUAAGAAAAAUACAACUUACAAUAAGGGUUGCGCUCGUUAAGGGACUUAACCCAACAUCUCACGACACGAGCUGACGACGACCAUGCAUCACCUGUCACUGCGUUCCUCUUGCGAGGCACAUCUACCUUUCGGUGGACUUCGCAGGAUGUCAAGUCUUGGUAAGGUUCUUCGCGUAGCGUCGAAUUAAACCACACGCUCCACCGCUUGUGCGGGUCCCCGUCAAUUCCUUUGAGUUUUAGCCUUGCGGCCGUACUCCCCAGGCGGGAUGCUUAACGCGUUAGCUUCGCUACUCAAGAGGGUCGAUACUCUCAAGCAGCUAGCAUCCAUCGUUUACGGCGUGGACUAC
Molecule: unclassified non-coding RNA, 369 nt
Filed under: uncultured bacterium
Lineage: Bacteria
Description: contains 16S-23S intergenic spacer region
Source: RNAcentral